Pelobates cultripes (western spadefoot toad) is the source of this 215-nucleotide non-coding RNA. Lineage: Eukaryota; Metazoa; Chordata; Amphibia; Anura; Pelobatidae. The record is from the annotation of a GenBank genome assembly.
GCUCACUAACACACACACAUGAUCCCUACAAACAAUCUCACAGACACACAUACAAGCUCACUCACUAGCAGGCACACACAGAAGCUCACUCACAUGCACACACACAGAGGCAGACAUCCACACACACAGGCACAGUCAGAUAGCCACACACACACACACAGGCAGGCAGUCACACACGCUGACCUGCUUCUUAGCUCCACAUCCCUUGAAGCUCC